This 253-nucleotide ribosomal RNA is filed under the name uncultured bacterium. Its description in RNAcentral is "partial 16S ribosomal RNA". It matches the Rfam family "Bacterial small subunit ribosomal RNA", at positions 524 to 776 of the family's 1533-position model. The record is from RNAcentral.
UACGUAGGGUGCAAGCGUUAUCCGGAAUUAUUGGGCGUAAAGAGCUCGUAGGCGGUUUGUCGCGUCUGCUGUGAAAACUGGAGGCUCAACCUCCAGCCUGCAGUGGGUACGGGCAGACUAGAGUACGGUAGGGGAGAUUGGAAUUCCUGGUGUAGCGGUGGAAUGCGCAGAUAUCAGGAGGAACACCGAUGGCGAAGGCAGAUCUCUGGGCCGUAACUGACGCUGAGGAGCGAAAGCAUGGGGAGCGAACAGG